Molecule: ribosomal RNA, 460 nt
Filed under: uncultured bacterium
Lineage: Bacteria
Description: partial 16S ribosomal RNA
Rfam family: Bacterial small subunit ribosomal RNA
Source: RNAcentral
CCUACGGGGGGCAGCAGUGAGGAAUAUUGGUCAAUGGACGAGAGUCUGAACCAGCCAAGUAGCGUGAAGGAUGACUGCCCUAUGGGUUGUAAACUUCUUUUAUAAAGGAAUAAAACGAGGCACGUGUGCCUUUUUGCAUGUACUUUAUGAAUAAGGAUCGGCUAACUCCGUGCCAGCAGCCGCGGUAAUACGGAGGAUCCGAGCGUUAUCCGGAUUUAUUGGGUUUAAAGGGAGCGUAGAUGGGUUGUUAAGUCAGUUGUGAAAGUUUGCGGCUCAACCGUAAAAUUGCAAUUGAUACUGGCAGUCUUGAGUACAGUUGAGGUAGGCGGAAUUCGUGGUGUAGCGGUGAAAGGCUUAGAUAUCGCGAAGAACCCCGAUUGCGAAGGCAGCUUACUAAACUGUGACUGACAUUGAUGCUCGAAAGUGUGGGUAUCAAACAGGAUUAGAUACCCCUGUAGUC